This 461-nucleotide ribosomal RNA is filed under the name Scyliorhinus canicula (smaller spotted catshark). RNAcentral describes it as "partial small subunit ribosomal RNA". The record is from RNAcentral. Lineage: Eukaryota; Metazoa; Chordata; Chondrichthyes; Carcharhiniformes; Scyliorhinidae.
UGUUAGGUUUGGUCCUGACCUUAGUGUUAAUUGCAACUAAAAUUAUACAUGCAAGUUUCAGCCCCCCUGUGAGAAUGCCCUAAGUAUUCUAUUAAAUAAUUAGGGGCGGGCAUCAGGCACACAUUUUACAUGUGGCCCAAGACGCCUUGCUCAGCCACACCCCUAAGGGUUUUCAGCAGUAAUAAACAUUGAUUACAUAAGCGUAAGCUUGAAUCAGUUAAAGUCGACAGAGUUGGUAAAUCUCGUGCCAGCCACCGCGGUUAUACGAGUGACUCACAUUAACACUUCCCGGCGUAAAGUGUGAUUUAAGGAUGACCUCCAAAUAACUAUAGUUAUGACCUCAUCAAGCUGUUAUACGCAUUCGUGAACGGAAUAAUCAACAACGAAAGUGACUCUAAAUUACCAGGAAUCUUGAUGUCACGACAGUUGGGCCCCAAACUAGGAUUAGAUACCCUACUAUG